AGAUAUCAUUCCGCACAACCCUUCCUGAAACCUUUAAAAUAAUCUUAUUUUCUGAAAAACUUAUAAAAAUGUGUGAAUAAUCGUCCUGAAUUUUCAUAAAUAUUCUGUUUUAUUCUGUCCGCCCUGAUUUUUGUUCGCCCUAGUUACUGUUCGCCCUAGUUCCGUUUCGCCCUGAGACCGUUCGCCCUUAUACCUGUUCGCCCUGGGUAUGUUCGCCCUGAUUUAUAUUUUUUAUUGUAGUGUUGUGUUAUGUGUAUUUAAUUGAAUAUGUUGAAGUCAGUCUACAAUUUCGCCGAAUAUUUACGAUUUUUAUUUUUUAUUAUAGUGUUGUGUUGUGUGUAUUUAAUUGAAUAUGUUGAAGUCAGUCUACAAUUUCGCCGAAUAUUUACGAUUUUUAUUUUUAUUUAUAGUGUGUGUUGUGUGUAUUUAAUUGAAUAUGUUGAAGUCAGUCUACAAUUUCGCCGAAUAUUUACGAUGUAUUAUGUCUACAGCUAGCUGCUA
Molecule: long non-coding RNA, 501 nt
Filed under: Mytilus galloprovincialis (Mediterranean mussel)
Lineage: Eukaryota; Metazoa; Mollusca; Bivalvia; Mytilida; Mytilidae
Source: RNAcentral